Molecule: microRNA precursor, 73 nt
Filed under: Ovis aries (sheep)
Lineage: Eukaryota; Metazoa; Chordata; Mammalia; Artiodactyla; Bovidae
Description: miRNA (ENSOARG00000021766.1)
Source: RNAcentral
GGUUGGCCAAAAGGUUUGUUUGGGUUUUUCUGUUACAUUUUAUUGAUAAGCCUGAACGAACCUUUUGGCCAAC